ACGUCCACAGUUGCCAGCAUACCCUCCGGGGUGGAUGGGUACGACUGUGGAGACCGCCGGCUGCUAAAGCGGAGGAAGGAGUGGGCAACGGUAGGUCGAGUAUGCCCCGAAUCUCCCGGGCUACACGCGGGCUACAAUGGUUGGUACAAUGGGCAUCUACCCCGAAAGGGGAAGGAAAUCUCUUAAAGCCAAUCGUAGUUCGGAUUGAGGGCUGCAACUCGCCCUCAUGAAGCUGGAAUCCGUAGUAAUCGCGUUUCAACAGAACGCGGUGAAUACGUCCCUGCUCCUU
This 289-nucleotide ribosomal RNA is filed under the name uncultured Methanosaeta sp. Its description in RNAcentral is "partial 16S ribosomal RNA". It matches the Rfam family "Archaeal small subunit ribosomal RNA", at positions 1054 to 1338 of the family's 1478-position model. Lineage: Archaea; Methanobacteriati; Methanobacteriota; Methanomicrobia; Methanotrichales; Methanotrichaceae. The record is from RNAcentral.